This is a small nuclear RNA of Marmota marmota marmota (Alpine marmot), 105 nucleotides long. The record is from Ensembl. Lineage: Eukaryota; Metazoa; Chordata; Mammalia; Rodentia; Sciuridae.
GUGCUCACUUAGGCAACACAUAUACUAAAAUUGGAAAGAUACAUAAAAGAUGAGCAUGGCCCCUGCGCAAGGAUGACACAAAUUCAUGAAGCGUUCUGUAUUUUU